AAUAUUCGAAAAACUAUUUACCCCUAAAACACAAAAAGACCAUUUAUUCAUACCCCCACAAGUUAAUACAUACCGAGACAGCCUAAACCAAGACAAGAAAAUAUACAACUACACAGCCCAAAAAUACAUAGAAAAUAUAUACAGAGUCCAAACCUUUCUAAACCAUAACCCCAGAGCUACAGACAUCAAAGAACCAAAUACCAAUUAUAUAACCCAAAAA
RNAcentral lists this long non-coding RNA (220 nucleotides) under Capsicum annuum. RNAcentral's name for it is "long non-coding RNA (CANN_LNC009449)". Lineage: Eukaryota; Viridiplantae; Streptophyta; Magnoliopsida; Solanales; Solanaceae. The record is from RNAcentral.